AGGAUGAACGCUGGCGGCGUGCCUAAUACAUGCAAGUCGAGCGGUAAGGCCUCUUCGGAGGUACACGAGCGGCGGACGGCUGAGUAACACGUAGGAACGUACCCCAAAGUGAGGGAUAAGCACCAGAAAUGGUGUCUAAUACCACAUGUGAUCUUCGGAUUAAAGCUCCGGCGCUUUGGGAACGGCCUGCGCAUGAUUAGCUUGUUGGUGAGGUAAAAGCUCACCAAGGCGACGAUCAUUAGCUGGUCUGAGAGGAUGACCAGCCAGACUGGGACUGAGAACGGCCCAGACUCCUACGGGAGGCAGCAGUAGGGAAUUUUCCACAAUGGGCGAAAGCCUGAUGGAGCAACGCCGCGUGCAGGAUGAAUGCCUUCGGGUUGUAAACUGCUUUUAUAUGUGACGAUUAUGACGGUAGCAUAUGAAUAAGGAUCGGCUAACUCCGUGCCAGCAGCCGC
This 455-nucleotide ribosomal RNA is filed under the name uncultured bacterium. Its description in RNAcentral is "SSU rRNA". It matches the Rfam family "Bacterial small subunit ribosomal RNA", at positions 26 to 518 of the family's 1533-position model. The record is from RNAcentral.